AUAAAGUUUGAUUCUGGCUUUUUAAUUAACCCCCCCACUAAUCUAUAUGGGAAAUAUUUAAUUUAGUUGUAUUUGGCCAGUAGUAAGCAUUAAUUUUAUUAGAAGUUUUGAAUUAGUAGGUGGGAUAUAAAGUAGAUUAAUAUUUGUGCCAGCAUUCGCGGUUACACAAUUUACUUGAGUUAAUUUUAUUAUUUUUUAAUUUAAUUUUUUUUUAGGUUAAACGUUUAAGUUAUUUAGGUGGAAUUUAUAAUUGAUUAUAAAAUCUAUACAGACUUAUUUUAAGAAAUUUUGUUUAUAGACUAGGAUUAGAUACCCUAUUAUUAUUAUUGUAAAUUUUUUAGAAUAGUAGUAGUUAAGGCCCCCAAAGCUCAAAGAAUUUGGCGGUAAGAUAUCUUUUUAGAGGAAUCUGUAUAUUAAUUGAUAUUCCACAAUAGUUUGUACCCCCUAUUUACUUGUAUACCGCUAUACUUUGGAGUGUUAUAAAAUAAAGUAAACUCUCUUUUUUUAAGUUAAAUUUAUAUUAGGUCAAGGUGCAGUUUUGAGGGGGGUUAUAUGGAUUACUUUUGUUGUAAGUUUACCGAAGAUUAAUUAAGAUAAUUAAUCUGAAUGAGGAUUUAAUAGUAAGUUUAAAUUAAUUAAUUUGACUGAAUAUUGCCAUGUCUUAUGUACAUAUCGCCCGUCACUCCUAAUUAAGUUAGGAUAAGUCGUAACAAAGUAAUUUUACCGGAAGGUGAAGUUGGAAUUAG
Molecule: non-coding RNA, 746 nt
Filed under: Nesophrosyne sp. 23 GMB-2012
Lineage: Eukaryota; Metazoa; Arthropoda; Insecta; Hemiptera; Cicadellidae
Source: RNAcentral